This 216-nucleotide ribosomal RNA is filed under the name uncultured soil bacterium. RNAcentral's name for it is "partial 16S ribosomal RNA". It matches the Rfam family "Bacterial small subunit ribosomal RNA", at positions 26 to 255 of the family's 1533-position model. The record is from RNAcentral.
AGAUUGAACGCUGGCGGCAUGCCUAACACAUGCAAGUCGAACGGGAGUAGCAAUACUCUAGUGGCGGACGGGUGAGGAAUACGUAGGAAUUUGCCCUUAAGUGGGGGAUAACCCGGGGAACCCGGAUUAAUACCGCAUGACCUCGAAAGAGCAAAGUGGGGGAUCGCAAGACCUCACGCUUUUGGAGAAGCCUACGUCGGAUUAGCUAGUUGGUGA